AGCGAACGCUGGCGGCAGGCCUAACACAUGCAAGUCGAACGAACUCUUCGGAGUUAGUGGCGGACGGGUGAGUAACACGUGGGAACGUGCCUUUAGGUUCGGAAUAACUCAGGGAAACUUGUGCUAACACCGAAUGUGCCCUUCGGGGGAAAGAUUUAUCGCCUUUAGAGCGGCCCGCGUCCGAUUAGCCAGUUGGUGAGGUAAAGGCUCACCAAGGCGACGAUCAGUAGCUGGUCUGAGAGGAUGAUCAGCCACAUUGGGACUGAGACACGGCCCAAACUCCUACGGGAGGCAGCAGUGGGGAAUCUUGCGCAAUGGGCGAAGGCCUGACGCAGCCCUGCCGCGUGAAUGAUGAAGGUCUUAGGAUUGUAAAAUUCUUUCACCGGGGACGAUAAUGACGGUACCCGGAGAAGAAGCCCCGGCUAACUUCGUG
This 433-nucleotide ribosomal RNA is filed under the name uncultured bacterium. RNAcentral describes it as "partial 16S ribosomal RNA". It matches the Rfam family "Bacterial small subunit ribosomal RNA", at positions 29 to 507 of the family's 1533-position model. The record is from RNAcentral.